Homo sapiens (human) is the source of this 2691-nucleotide non-coding RNA. The record is from RefSeq and is a predicted model, not a curated record. NCBI's taxonomy places the organism in Eukaryota, Metazoa, Chordata, Mammalia, Primates, Hominidae.
UUUGACAGAGUGUUCUGUCCCAUUCCCUUUCUUCUGGGAAUAAGGGCACAGGAUACUAAACAAAUAGAUCACCUGGUCUGGGAACACCUGAUUUCUGGAGAGGCUGAGACUUCUAGGUGUUUGCUAGAAAGAUCCAAAUACAGGAAAGAGAAAACAGCUGCUGCGUUCACAAGAAAACGGAGGAUGCAUUUCUCCCCAUGACUUCGGCUUGUUUGGGUUCGCAUUUCAAGUGCUCUGACUGGGCUUUAUGGAAUGUCCUGUCAAGCUUUUGAUUGUGAAAAUAAAGUUACAGAGACACAGGGGAACAAUAAUCACAGACGCGAUUUGUAGCACAGACACGGCCUUUCAUUUCAUUCCUCUUUUCUGUGUUUACAAAUUGCGACUGUUAGAGAAACGUUGGCCAAGCUGGCUCUUUAACCUGGCCACAUAUUUAUUUUGGCCACUCUUAGCUUUUAUUUCGCAAGGUCUCAUACUCACCAGCUCAGGUGCUUGUUACAUAAGAAAGCUCUGCCGGCGGAGUGCCAAAAAUUCAGCUCAGCAUUUUCUGCCUCCCUGCAGUGGUCCCAAGGAAUGGAUACCUCUGCAACCAUCUGCAACCUGGACCUUUGCAACAGGAAUCUCAGGCCAAAUGGAAAUGGAGCCUUUUAUGAAGUUUCCCUCUUUUUAAGCUGGAAAGUUGGCAGCGACGUCGUUUCGAAAUGAGUCGGAAAGUCUGGGUUGGGCUGGCAACAUCACCCCUAAGAUGAGGGCCGUUUACAAAUUUGUUUAUAAAAAGUGGGGGAGCUGGAGCUGUGUUUUCUUGGCGCUGUGCUGGAAUUCUGACCACUCGAAGAUGAGAUCUCAUUCUAGGAGUGCUUGCUAGUGCCUCCUUCAGGGACCAACCCUGUCAAGUGGGAAGGCAUGAAGUUCAAGAAGUCAGCAUUCCCAGAGGCAGGUCAGCUUGCUUUCAUUCUGUCGUACUCGGUUUCCUUACUUUCCUCCUAACACGUUACCUCUGAAGCAAAUGUUCCCGAGCACUGUCCCCUUCUAGAAAGACCUUGUAUGAGAACCUUAUCUUUGCACAGAGUGUGGAGACCGCCAUUAGGGCAGACGGGAUGGAUUUGACCAACCCAGGUCACAAACCAGUGAUGAUGGAGAGGAGAAUUCCACGAGUUAGCCAGGGCGCAGCGGGACAGAGGGAACCUGGCUCCUUACUUACAACAGCUUCUUGGAGCAAGGAAUCUUGGACAAAAAAAUAAAAGCAUUAGAUCGGUUCAAGGCUAUUUGUUCAACUCCACAUCUAACUCUGCUCUGGGUCCCAGAGACACCAACGUACACAAGAUUCACUUCUUAUGUCCCAGGAGCCCAUGGUCUACCCAGGAAAGCAGAGAGGAGAAAGAAGACCUGUUCUGUGAGGCUGAAUAAUUGAGCUGUGGGUAGGAACCUGAAGAGAGCAGAGCCAGGGCAGACCCCAAGGAGGGGAACUGAGCUGAGCCUGGCAAGAUGAACCCCAGCUUGCCCUCCUCCAUUGAGUGUGGUGAGGAGGCCCACAAAGGGCCUAGAAAUGUUCAUCAUGGAGCUUGGGAGAGAGGGAGAGAGGGGCCGCUCAAACUGUGUAUGUUGGUAUCACCAUUAUAAUUGCCUACACUUUACAAAAAGGCAAAACUGUUCAAAACUGUCACUUUCUGAAAAGGUGACAGAAUUCAGAGGUGGAGACUCCACCCAAGUACCGUCAGGCACAGCUGCUGCUGGGAAGCCUCUCCAAAAUGAGUUGAAGGCCACAGGCCUUGGAUGCUGGGCAGAUAGCAGAGACUGCUGGGCACCCCGGUGCCACAGAGUGCAAGAAGGUUCUCCCCCAACAGCCCCUUCCACGAACACCCUGGCACCUGCCCUGCAUGGUCCUGCUUCUAGGAACUUUCUUUCUUUUUUUUUUUUUUUUUAGACAGAGUCCUACUCUUGUUGCCCAGGCUGGAGUGCAGUGGCACUGUCUCGGCUCACUGCAACCUCUGCUUCCUGGGUUCAAGCGAUUCUCCUGCCUCAGUCUCCCAAGUAGCUGGGAUUACAGGUGCCCGCCAUCAAGCCCAUGUGUCUCUGUGUUGUCAUUUAAUGUCAGUGCAAGGACUCUGAUCAGCUAUAUUGAAAUAAUAUAUUACAUAUAAUAAUAUUGAAAUAGUUAUCAUGGGAAUGUAGAAAAUCACUUGUUUUCUUAAUCAAAGGUUUAAAAUGCUUUUGGAAUUAUUUUAAUAAGUAUUAUUUUUACCCAUUUCAGAGUCUUAUAGAGAACAAAUCUACAGCAGCCCUGGGGCUCCUCAGGGAGAACAGCGAUGGGUAUUUUGGGAGGGGCCUCAUGGUGGCCCCACAGGCUGAGGAGCGAGCUGUCUGAUUAGUGCAUUUGGAGAAGGGGUGAGCAUUCUCAGCUGAGAGCCUCUUGCUUUUGGGGAGUGUUUUGACUAAUAGUGGCCAAUUAUUCACACCAUGAUAAAAAAUAUCAGUCAUGAUAGAUAGCAAGCUCUUCUCGUGUUCACGACUCGGAGUGAGGUAGCGUUCUGAUUCUCUUCCCUUUGUUACCAGAAAAGGGUCCCAAUCCAGACCCCAAGAGAAGGUUCUUGGAUAUCACACAAAAAAGAAUUCGGGGUGAGUCCAUACAGUAAAGUGAAAUCAAGUUUAUUAGGAAAGUAAAGGAAUAAAGAAUGGCUGCUCGUGGACUGCUCA